Non-coding RNA from Picea glauca (white spruce), 121 nucleotides. The record is from Rfam. Lineage: Eukaryota; Viridiplantae; Streptophyta; Pinopsida; Pinales; Pinaceae.
ACAUGCCUACAACAUAGCAUUAAUGCAACAGAUCCCAUUAGAACUUAGCAGUUAAGUGUGCUCAGGCUAGAGUAGUAUUGGUAUGGGUGAUCGCUCAGAAAGUCCUAGUGUUUUACAUGCC